RNA transcript from Triticum aestivum (bread wheat), 2807 nucleotides. It is a transcript of the gene named ankyrin-1, with no coding region annotated. The record is from RefSeq and is a predicted model, not a curated record. The transcript is spliced from 4 exons. Lineage: Eukaryota; Viridiplantae; Streptophyta; Magnoliopsida; Poales; Poaceae.
GACCAAGAGGGAGCCGAGUCGUCUGUCUUGUCCUUUCCCAACUCUUCCAAGUUCAAAACACUACCAUAUCAUGUACAGGAGUAGAGAACAUAGCAAGCAUCCCAGAUAGUUUUCUUUUAGUGUACAUCCCAAAUAGCAUAGCAGAUCACAACAUGGCGGCGGUAGAAUUCGGCCCUCACGAGAAGAUGACGCUCGACGCGGAGCUGCUGCAAGUGCUAACCGCCGGCGACAAGGUCUGCAUGGAGGAGAUACUGAGCAGACAAGACCAUGGUGCCGGCCACCGCCGCCAGCAAACAGCCGCCCAGGGCCACGUCGCGGUAAACGUCCAUGGCGCGGCACCGGGCCGCUUUCUUCUAGGCGUGGCGAGCAACGGGAACACGGCUUUGCACCUUGUCGCCAGCCGCGGUCACGUCGAGCUGGCGACGCUCCUCUGCGAGAGGGCGCCCUCGCUGGCCGCCGCGCGCAACAAGUGCCUCGACACGCCGCUGCACUGCGCGGCGAGGUUCGGGCACGCGGAUGUGGCGGCUGUCCUCCUGCCGAGGAUGCGGGACGGCGCGGCGGAGGAGGAGUCCGCGCUGCGCGCGAGGAACCAGUCGGGCGCAACCGCCUUGUACGAAGCCGUCCGGCACGGGCGUGCCGGUGUGGUGGAUCUGCUCAUGACGGAGGUUCCCGAUCUGGCCUCCGUUGACGGCGACGAGGGUGUCUCGCCGCUCUACCUGGCGGCGUCGACUGACUCGCUCCAGAUGGUCCGCGCGCUGCUACGCCCGUCAGAAAACGGAACACCCUCGCCGGCGUCGUUUUCUGGUCCGGAGGGACGGACUGCUUUGCAUGCUGCGGCGGCUAGUAGCAGAGAAAUGGCUGAAGCAAUACUGAGCUGGGGGCCAGAAGGUCCAACGUUGCUAACCAGGCUUGAUUCGUCAGGGAGCACGCCUCUCCAUUUUGCAGUACUGUAUGGACGGCUUGAUGUAGUUGUGCUAUUCCUUGAUGGCCAUGCUUCGCUCGGGCUGGCUAGCAUUUCUGAUGGCAACGGGUCAUUUCCUCUGCACAUUGCCGCUAUGGUGGGACGAGCUAGAAUCAUGGAGGAGCUCAUACACCGAAUCCCUGACUGCUAUGAGAUGGUUGAUGGUAAAGGAAGAAAUAUUCUGCACUGUGCUGUGGAGCAUUGUCGGGUAACCGUGGUUCGCCAUAUUUGCCGGAAUGACAUGUUCUCGAUGCUGUGGAAUGCUACGGAUUCUGGAGGGAACACUCCACUCCAUCUGGCUGCCAAUCAUGGAUAUCCGAAGAUUGUCAUUUUACUACUGGAGACGACAAGUGUGGAGAUAGGCAUUACCAACAACGAUGGGACUAACUGCUAUGGAUCUUGCUCACCGUGCAAUAGCACCCGGCCGGAUAUACUAUUUCCUGGUAUUUCAAACAAGUCUUGGAUGCUAUUGGGGAGCUCAGAGGAGAGAUGACCAAGGCACCAACUGGGCAAACUCCUAGCAAGAUUCACACGAGUCCAAGGUAGUAUCCGUAUUUCAAGGAUCCGUGUUUUAUGGUGCGCAAUUGUCUGUGGUGGUUGGGGGCACCGGUUACUUUAGAUGGAGUCCACCCCCUUUGUCUUCGUAACGUGUACGACAAACCCACUCGAGAAGAAGCAUCACAUGAACAAGACAUGAUGACAGAAAGUGGAAUAAUCGGGUCAGUGCUAAUCGCCACCAUGGCCUUUGGGGCAGCUUUCACAGUGCCGGGGGGGGUUCGUCGCCGACGACCAUGGGCAUGCAGGGACAGCAACGCUGGCGAGACGUUUCGCGUUCCGGGCAUUUGUGGUUUCAGACACCAUGGCCUUCCUCUGCUCCCUUACCGCGACCUGCUUUCUUAUAUACGGCGGUGCAAGAGAAAUUCCACGGGACCACCGUUACUUGUACAACUUGCUGGCGUCUGGGUUGGUGCCGGUGGGAGCUCAAUGUAUGAUUGCUGCGUUUGCUGCGUCUGGGUUGGUGCCGGUGGGAGCUCAAUGUAUGAUUGCUGCGUCUGGGUUCAGUCAACCGUUGGCUCAUUGUCCUCGUAUACACUUUGUCCAUAGCUUCACUGCUUCUCUGCUUCCCUGGCAUCUGGGCUCCGUUCCAUCUGGGGCUGGGGAAGGCCAUAUGGCGUCGAGCCGGAUGGAGGGGAUUUAUCAACAUACACGUGUUCCAAAGUCUUAGACGACCAUUGUUCGUUUUGCUCAUCUCUGCUACGUUCGUCGUGGCCAUCGUACUCAGUAUUGCUUUGCCAAAUUACUGAGUUGGCCUGUCUGUAAUCUGAAAGGUAUUCGUCUGAGUACUGUUCUCAGUCUGUAUGCACGGGCCAAUUCAUGGACGGUUCCUUUAGAGAGCUGCUAAAACUCAAUAUUAGUACAUGCGGCAAUGCUCAUCAGGGGCCACCACUUGCGAGUCAGUAAGGGGAUUCUGGUUAACUUUCGCAUUCGGAGAGCAGCCUUUCGGAAAGUUCAAGCUGAGCUCGCGUAUCAUUCUUCUAGCAUCAAUUGUGCACCGGGUAUUUUAUUGCCUUGCAGUCAACAGAACUCUUCUGGCUUACUACCUUACAUCAGAUCAGAAGAAUGGUGCCACUACGAGGUUUUGGGAGGGUACGUGGUUUGGGGAGACCCCCCUUGCACUUCAAUAUCCUACUUUGUACAACAUUGUGCGACGUAGAGAAGCCUACAUUGCAACUGUUCUACAAUCCACUCCCCUCAAUAUUAGAUUUCGGAGAACGCUAGUUGGAAAUCGUUGGGAGGCCUGGCUCCACCUUGUUAGACGUUUAAUGGAAGUCCGGCUGACCCAGCA